Molecule: non-coding RNA, 5216 nt
Organism: Sus scrofa (pig)
Lineage: Eukaryota; Metazoa; Chordata; Mammalia; Artiodactyla; Suidae
Source: RefSeq, a predicted model, not a curated record
CCUAGCAAUAGUCACAUGACACAUUUCCUGUCAAGAUGGCGGAAAAUCUCCCCUCGGAGUUUGAUGUGAUCGUAAUAGGGACGGGUUUGCCUGAAUCCAUCAUUGCAGCUGCAUGUUCAAGAAGUGGCCAGAGGGUUCUGCAUGUUGAUUCAAGAAGCUACUAUGGAGGAAAUUGGGCCAGUUUUAGCUUUUCAGGACUUUUAUCCUGGCUAAAGGAACACCAGGAAAACAGUAACAUUUUAAGUGAAUGCUCAGCAUGGCAAGAGAAGAUCCUUGAAAAUGAAGAAGCCAUUGCUCUUAGUAGGAGGGACAAAACCAUCCAACAUGUGGAAGUAUUUUGCUAUGCAAGGUAUGAAAAUCAGGAUUUGGAUGAAGAUGUUGAAGAAGCUGGUGCACUGCAGAAAAAUCAUGCUUCUGUGACAUCUGCGAAGUCCACAGAAGCUGCAGAUUCUGCCUGCCUGCCUACAGAAGAUGAGUCAUUAAGCACUGCAAGCUGUGAAAUACCCACAGAACAAACUCCAAGGAGUGAUCCAAAGAAUGCCCUAGAAGUAAAUGAUGUCGAAGCGACAGGGGAGAAAGAAAACCGUCGUGAUGAUAAAACUUGUGUGCCAUCAACUUCAGAAGAAGAAACAAGUGAAAAUGUGCCUAUAGCAGAAGAUACUGCAGAACAACCAAAGAAAAAUAGGAUUACUUACUCACAAAUUAUUAAAGAAGGCAGGAGAUUUAAUAUCGAUUUGGUGUCAAAGCUGCUGUAUUCUCGAGGAUUGCUAAUUGAUCUUCUAAUCAAAUCUAAUGUUAGUCGAUAUGCAGAGUUCAAAAAUAUUACCAGGAUUCUUGCAUUUCGAGAAGGAAGAGUGGAACAGGUUCCUUGCUCCAGAGCAGAUGUCUUUAAUAGCAAACAGCUUACUAUGGUAGAAAAGCGAAUGCUAAUGAAGUUCCUUACAUUUUGUAUGGAUUAUGAGGAAUAUCCUGAUGAAUAUAAAGCCUAUGAGGAAAUUUCAUUUUCUGAGUAUUUAAAAACUCAGAAAUUGACCCCCAACCUCCAAUACUUUGUCCUGCAUUCAAUCGCGAUGACAUCAGAAACAGCCAGCAGUACUAUAGAUGGUCUCAAAGCUACCCAAAACUUUCUUCACUGUCUUGGGCGGUAUGGCAACACUCCAUUUUUGUUUCCUUUAUAUGGACAAGGAGAGCUCCCUCAGUGUUUCUGCAGGAUGUGUGCAGUGUUUGGUGGAAUCUAUUGUCUUCGCCAUUCAGUACAGUGCCUUGUUGUGGACAAAGAAUCUGGAAAAUGUAAAGCAAUCAUAGAUCAUUUUGGUCAGAGAAUAAUUGCUAAGCAUUUCAUUGUAGAAGACAGUUACUUUUCUGAGAACACAUGCUCACGUGUGCAAUACAGGCAGAUCUCCAGGGCAGUCUUGGUAACAGAUAAAUCUGUAUUAAAAAGCAAUUCAGAUCAACAGAUUUCCAUUUUGACAGUGCCAGCAGACGAACCAGGAGCUUUUGCUGUUCGAGUCAUUGAGUUAUGUUCCUCAACAAUGACAUGCAUGAAAGGCACAUAUUUGGUUCAUUUGACUUGUACGUCUUCUAAAACAGCAAGAGAAGAUUUAGAACCAGUUGUGCAGAAAUUGUUUACUCCAUAUACCGAAACGGAGAUAGAGAUAGAGCAUAAAGGGGCAUUUACUUUUACACAGAAAAUGAAGAAGUUGAAAAGCCAAGACUUCUGUGGGCUCUUUACUUCAAUAUGAGAGAUUCUUCGGACGUCAGCAGGAACUCUUAUAAUGAUUUACCAUCCAACGUUUAUGUCUGCUCUGGCCCAGAUUGUGGUUUAGGAAAUGAUAAUGCAGUCAAACAGGCGGAAGCACUUUUCCAACAAAUCUGCCCCAAGGAAGAUUUCUGUCCACCGCCACCAAAUCCUGAAGACAUUAUCCUUGAAGGAGACAGUUUACAACCAGAGGCUUUGGAAUCCAGUGCCAUCCCAGAGGCCAGCUCAGAGACUCCCAAGGAAAGUGCAAAUCUAGGAAACCCAGAAGAGCCCUCUGAGUAAUGGGUAAACACCAAAUUGGAUACCACACUUGGAAAAUCCUCCUAGCCUCAGUCUUCUUAAUGGAAGAACUGUUUGAAAAAUAUUACAAAGCAACAGCCAGUUGACAUGCAGAAUUACCAAGAUAAGUAGGUCAUAGAAAUCCAAAUGGAGAUUUUCCUUAAAGAGGACUUUCCAAGACCACAAAAUAUUGUAAAGCACAUUGACUUGUCUGCUUUAAGAAACCAAACCUGUGGAAUUAGCAGAUAAAAAGUAUAAAUGGUUUGAUUCCCAGGAAUAGAGCUCUAGUUACUGAACUGAAUCCUAUGCAUUGUUAAUAAUUCUGUGGUGUUAGGACAGCUUUUGCUUGCCACUUUAGAUCUUUGUUUGAAACCCGCAUCUUCAGAAUCAGCUCAUAUAUUUUCUUUGAUUAUUUGAGUUAUAUUUUCUUUAUGGGUAUGAGCAUUGUGACACAAAUGAUAAAAGCCUAUGUAAAUGUAGUUGAGAAAAAACUCAUGUCAUGAUCCAGGCAGGAGCCCAUGUCUGUAAUAGAGGUUUGUUUUGUUUUCUAUCUUGAGGAGUACCAAAAUGCUAAUAUUAAAGUAGAUAUUUUUGCAGAUGAGUCAUGAGUCCAUUACUUAGUGUUUUUUAUUUUAAUGUUAGUAGUGAUGUUUGUGUGUGAAUCCUGAACUCACUAGGAAAGCUCAAUACUGAAGAAACGAAAGAUUCAAAUAGGCUCAUUGGUACUUGGAAAUUUUGUCUUGUCGAGUACCUAGAGCAGUAGCCUAAUUGAGCAUGGACUUAACUUAGUCCUAGCUAUGCUACUGAUGAUAUUAGGCAAAUUGUUUAACUUCUGGGCCUCUGUUUCUCCACAUGUAAGGUGGAAAUAGUAAUACCCUGCCUACUGUAGGAGGAUGACUUUGAAGAUAAAUACAGUGCCAUCCUUAGAAUGGUUUUUCUGGAAUAAAAGUUGUUUCAGAAUUUCCCUGUUGACUUGGGGGUAAAUAUCAAAAAUCUUAUGCAGCAAAUAAUUGCUUGCUGUCAACUCCCCCAACACCAUAGAUUACAGUGUUUUUUUAUUGCACUAAGCCUUUAAAAUAAAAAUCUGUUUCCUAAAUUAGUAUUUUAUAGUCUUACAGACGAGCAAACAUAGUAAAAUGUAGGAUUGUGGUUUUGAAACUUAUUAAGGAAAACACUCUAUAAACUCUUCAUAUUCUUUUUCUAGUAGGUAAACCUGAAACCACCAAGGACUCUAAAUAGAAUAUGACAAUUGAUAAACCCUAAUAUGCACUUAACAUAAAAAUAUAAGGGCUGUACAUAGGCAGCAAAUCUAGUUACAGUGACAGUGCCUAUAUUAAAAUUUUUCCAAAUGCCAAGCUCUGAUGGUUUACCUUUUUUUGAGCAAUAGUAUGGACUUAACUUAUUUCACUAAAUAAAUACAGAAGAAGUUUAUUGUUGUGCAGUCUGGCCUAUAUUGCCAGAGAGCCGUGACUAUAUUAGAAAGCACAUAGUUCUUACUCACAUACUUAAUGUGCAGCAGGGCUCUGACCUCUCCAGAUUUCAGAGAUGAUCUUAAAAUAAGCGAGCUCUGUCUUGUUGCAGACUCAUGAGAAAUGGAGAGAACCUUUCAAACCCCCUGCAGAUACAGCUGAAUCCAGAGGAAAACUUUCCCAGGCUCUCAGGCAACUCCCUCCCGAUUGCAUAGCCUCUCCCCUUUCUCUUUAAUCUCUUCUAUCCCUCUCUUCCCCUUUUAUAAUGUUAUACAAUUCAGGGACAGUAGAAUCACUUUAUAAACUUUGUUAUAUGGAUUCAGAUCUAUCUUAAAUCAUAUUUCCUGUAACCCAACUAUGGCAUGCGCUAAAGGCACAAUACAUACCUAUAAGCUCUGGGUAUUGGCCCUGCCCCGCAGUACCAGCAAUAUAAAAGUUUCCACUAUGUGAGAGUAUUGAGUCUGAAGACAGCUGCAAUAAGUUGCACCCAAUAAGAUAUUGUACUUUGCUAUAGUCUUAGAGUUAAGGCCUCUUGAUGCAGCAUGCACACUUACAUAAACAGUCAAUUAGAAUAGACCCAGAAUAACUAGAAAAAUUUUGAUAGCUUUACUACAUACAGCUCUUUAUAUGUAGAACAAUGAAGGAGAUAUUCUGUGGUCUCAUGGCACAGUCCAUACUGUACCCUAUACAUCCAUUAACCAGCAUCGGAAUUUCUCUUCCAGGUUAUUUAUACUGUUGAAAUGUUUAAAAGCUCCUGAAUUUCAUUAGUGAUGAUAAGAUAUUACACAACUGUUAAAAAUCCUUGAUAGAGAACUUAGUUAUUUCCUGUCACCUCAGAAUGUAAUAGAAAUUAUUCUAAGAACAAUCUUUUCAGCUAUCUUAAUUACUGCAGAUAUUUGUUUUCAUAGCUUUAAAGAAAAAGUUGUCAGUUUUGUUGUAAAACCAUAAACCUGAAGUUCUGUGAAUGAAAUUUAGAUGCUGUACAUGAUGCAGAAAUUUCAGUAGCUAAUUUUAAAUUUUGAAAAUUGCUAUUAUCAAAGAAAUUUGAUUCAUGUAUUUUAAAUGUUUAUGUUAUGCAUGCUCCUUAUUUAUCAAAAAUGAUUAUAUCAUUCAGUUUACUGAUCAAUUUUAAAAUGGAUUACUAACCCUAUAUUGCUACUGUAUUUUUGUCUACUUGGUAUGCCUGCCCAGAAAAACAUAUAUAUAUUUUUUUUUCUAUAGGAAAGCUGUUAUAGACCCACCUCCUAUGAUAUCUAGCUGCUCAUAGAAAAAUGGUCAUGUUAGUGGUUAACUUCUAGAAUAGUGAUUUCUGAGAUUGGUAGACCUUUGUCUAAAAUAAUGGCCAUGCUGAGGAUUAACUUCUGCCACAGCUAUAGUUCCGAAGAAGGCAGUCCUUUGUCUAAAGUCCUAAAAACCUAAAAAAAAAAUUUGUUGAAAUUUGAUUGCUAAAUAGUAGUGAUCCUUUAAAGCAACUUUCUUACAGAUCAGUUAUUUACUGAUAUUGGUAUUGAAUAAUCUCUCUCUACUCUUGGUUGACUUUCUUAUAUACAUUUCAACAAGCAUGGAUACAUAAUUAUUCAUAAUUUGCACACUGUAACAAUAAGGUUUCAGAGGCAAUAAAGUCUUUAAUGCCUUUCAGGUUUGGUAUCCUAUUUUUUAAUGUUAAUAUUUUGUAUAUGCCAAGAAAUUAAAGAUUGUCUUGGAACUGA